Molecule: ribosomal RNA, 466 nt
Filed under: uncultured bacterium
Lineage: Bacteria
Description: bacterial SSU rRNA
Rfam family: Bacterial small subunit ribosomal RNA
Source: RNAcentral
CCUACGGGUGGCAGCAGUGGGGAAUCUUCCGCAAUGGGCGCAAGCCUGACGGAGCAAUGCCGCGUGAGUGAAGAAGGCCUUCGGGUUGUAAAACUCUGUCCUAAGGGAAGAAUGUUACCUAUGAGAAUAUUGUAGGUAAAUGACGGUACCUUAGGAGGAAGCCCCGGCUAACUACGUGCCAGCAGCCGCGGUAAUACGUAGGGGGCGAGCGUUGUCCGGAAUUACUGGGCGUAAAGCGCGCGUAGGCGGAUAAUUAAGUCAGAUGUGAAAACUCUGGGCUCAACCGAGAGCAUGCAUCUGAUAAUGGGUAACUUGGGUGUAGAAGAGGGGGGUGGAAUUCCUAGGGUAGCGGUGAAAUGCGUUGAUAUUAGGAGGGAACACAGUGGCGAAGGGGAAUUUUUGGUCUAUAACUGGCGGUGGGGCGCGAAAGCGUGGGGAGCAAACAGGAUUAGAUACCCGUGUAGUC